GAUGAACGCUGGCGGCGUGCUUAACACAUGCAAGUCGAACGGGAAUUACUUUAUUGAAACUUCGGUCGAUUUAAUUUAAUUCUAGUGGCGGACGGGUGAGUAACGCGUGGGUAACCUGCCUUAUACAGGGGGAUAACAGUCAGAAAUGGCUGCUAAUACCGCAUAAGCGCACAGAGCUGCAUGGCUCGGUGUGAAAAACUCCGGUGGUAUAAGAUGGACCCGCGUUGGAUUAGCUUGUUGGUGGGGUAACGGCCCACCAAGGCGACGAUCCAUAGCCGGCCUGAGAGGGUGAACGGCCACAUUGGGACUGAGACACGGCCCAGACUCCUACGGGAGGCAGCAGUGGGGAAUAUUGCACAAUGGGGGAAACCCUGAUGCAGCGACGCCGCGUGAAGGAAGAAGUAUCUCGGUAUGUAAACUUCUAUCAGCAGGGAAGAUAGUGACGGUACCUGACU
This 455-nucleotide ribosomal RNA is filed under the name uncultured bacterium. RNAcentral describes it as "bacterial SSU rRNA". It matches the Rfam family "Bacterial small subunit ribosomal RNA", at positions 28 to 484 of the family's 1533-position model. The record is from RNAcentral.